AUUUAGGUGUGUAUCUAGCCACCCUAAACUUGUUUCAUCAAUCAUCCAUACUUCAAUAAUCAACCUGCAACAUGUAUUAAAAUAGAGUUUCAAUGCAAAAGCAAAGAGCGAGUAUACAACAUAAUAGAAUAAAAACUCAUAUCCAACAUGAACAUAACAAAAUAGUUUCAACGUGCUAGUUUACGUAGUCCAAGUGAUAGCCCAAGUUUCCCAAUGCGUUUAAAGUACCUAACCCAAAGUUUAACGGGAGGUUGUUAUGUCUCCUCCUAACAAUACCCCAAAGACUAACGGGGAGGUGCAUUACUCCUAUAGCGCUACUAUUGUUAAGGCGGAACUACACACAAGAAUUAAACGUUCACAUUGCACAAAAAGUCUCAAGAUUCACAAGUUUCAUGUUUCAUGUUUAAAUGGAUAGAGUAAGUUUCAAAUAAGUUUCAAGUGUCGUGUGCGUUUAAUAUAGAAUACAUGUUGCACCCAAAGUGUUAAAAGUAGAAAUGGGUUCGAGUA
RNAcentral lists this long non-coding RNA (507 nucleotides) under Helianthus annuus (common sunflower). Lineage: Eukaryota; Viridiplantae; Streptophyta; Magnoliopsida; Asterales; Asteraceae. The record is from RNAcentral.